This 1298-nucleotide ribosomal RNA is filed under the name Rhodococcus sp. AW25M09. RNAcentral's name for it is "bacterial LSU rRNA". It matches the Rfam family "Bacterial large subunit ribosomal RNA", at positions 1 to 1221 of the family's 2925-position model. The record is from RNAcentral. Lineage: Bacteria; Bacillati; Actinomycetota; Actinomycetes; Mycobacteriales; Nocardiaceae.
UUGUAAGUAAUGAAGAGCGUACGGUGGAUGCCUUGGCACCAGGAGCCGAUGAAGGACGUAGGAGGCUGCGAUAAGCCUCGGGGAGCUGUCAACCGAGCUGUGAUCCGAGGGUGUCCGAAUGGGGAAACCCAGCACGAGUGAUGUCGUGUUACCCGCAUCUGAAUAUAUAGGGUGUGUGGAGGGAACGUGGGGAAGUGAAACAUCUCAGUACCCACAGGAAGAGAAAACAAUUGUGAUUCCGUGAGUAGUGGCGAGCGAAAGCGGAUGAGGCCAAACUUUGUGCGUGUGAUACCCGGCAGGGGUUGCGUAUGGAGGGUUGUGGGGUUUGCAUUGUCGAUUCUGCCGGAUCGGCCGACAGUAAGAAAUUGUGGUGUUAGUCGAAGUGGUCUGGAACGGCCUGUCGUAGAGGGUGAGAGUCCCGUAGACGAAAACAUUGCAACUGUCGUUGUGGAUUCCCAAGUAGCAGCGGGCCCGUGAAAUCUGCUGUGAAUCUGUCGGGACCACCCGAUAAGCCUGAAUACUCCCUGGUGACCGAUAGCGGACUAGUACCGUGAGGGAAAGGUGAAAAGUACCCCGGGAGGGGAGUGAAAUAGUACCUGAAACCGUGCGCUUACAAUCCGUCAAAGCUGGUGAACAGUUUACUGUUGCUGGUGAUGGCGUGCCUUUUGAAGAAUGAGCCUGCGAGUUAGUGGCAUGUCGCGAGGUUAACCCGUGUGGGGUAGCCGUAGCGAAAGCGAGUCCGAAUAGGGCGUAUCCACCUCGAGUGGUGUAGUGGCGUGUUCUAGACCCGAAGCGGAGUGAUCUACCCAUGGCCAGGUUGAAGCGACGGUAAGACGUCGUGGAGGACCGAACCCACUUAGGUUGAAAACUGAGGGGAUGAGUUGUGGGUAGGGGUGAAAGGCCAAUCAAACUCCGUGAUAGCUGGUUCUCCCCGAAAUGCAUUUAGGUGCAGCGUCACGUGUUUCUCAUCGGAGGUAGAGCUACUGGAUGGUCUAGGGGGCCUACAAGCUUACCGAAAUCAGCCAAACUCCGAAUGCCGGUGAGUGAGAGCGUGGCAGUGAGACUGCGGGCGAUAAGGUUCGUAGUCGAGAGGGAAACAGCCCAGAUCGCCAGCUAAGGUCCCUAAGCGUGUACUAAGUGGAAAAGGAUGUGGGGUCGCGAAGACAACCAGGAGGUUGGCUUAGAAGCAGCCACCCUUGAAAGAGUGCGUAAUAGCUCACUGGUCAAGUGAUCCUGCGCCGACAAUGUAGCGGGGCUCAAGUACACCACCGAAGCUGCGGCACUCACACAAUAGCCCC